CACGUGGACAUCUAACCUAUGGAAGGGGAUAACCCCGGGAAACUGGGGAUAAUACCCUAUAGACUAUGGAUGCUGGAAUGCUUCGUAGUUGAAAGGUCCGCCGCCAUAGGAUGGGUCUGCGGCCGAUUAGGUUGUUGUUGGGGUAACGGCCCAACAAGCCUGUAAUCGGUACGGGUUGUGGGAGCAAGAGCCCGGAGAUGGAUUCUGAGACACGAAUCCAGGCCCUACGGGGCGCAGCAGGCGCGAAAACUUUACAAUGCGGGAAACCGUGAUAGGGGAACUCCGAGUGCCCGUAAAAUCGGGCUGUCCACCAGUUUAAACAACUGGUGAAGAAAGGGCCGGGCAAGACCGGUGCCAGCCGCCGCGGUAAUACCGGCGGCUCGAGUGGUGGCCACUAUUACUGGGCUUAAAGCGUUCGUAGCUGGUUUGUUAAGUCUCUGGGGAAAUCUUCCGGCUUAACCGGAAGGCGUCUCAGGGAUACUGGCAGACUAGGGACCGGGAGAGGUGAGGGGUACUCCAGGG
RNAcentral lists this ribosomal RNA (522 nucleotides) under uncultured archaeon. RNAcentral's name for it is "bacterial SSU rRNA". It matches the Rfam family "Archaeal small subunit ribosomal RNA", at positions 97 to 625 of the family's 1478-position model. The record is from RNAcentral.